AUUGAACGCUGGCGGCAGGCCUAACACAUGCAAGUCGAGCGGUAACAGAAAGCAGCUUGCUGCUUUGCUGACGAGUGGCGGACGGGUGAGUAAUGUCUGGGAAACUGCCUGAUGGAGGGGGAUAACUACUGGAAACGGUAGCUAAUACCGCAUAACGUCGCAAGACCAAAGAGGGGGACCUUCGGGCCUCUUGCCAUCGGAUGUGCCCAGAUGGGAUUAGCUAGUAGGUGGGGUAAAGGCUCACCUAGGCGACUAUCCCUAGCUGGUCUGAGAGGAUGACCAGCCACACUGGAACUGAGACACGGUCCAGACUCCUACGGGAGGCAGCAGUGGGGAAUAUUGCACAAUGGGCGCAAGCCUGAUGCAGCCAUGCCGCGUGUAUGAAGAAGGCCUUCGGGUUGUAAAGUACUUUCAGCGGGGAGGAAGGGAGUAAAGUUAAUACCUUUGCUCAUUGACGUUACCCGCAGAAGAAGCACCGGCUAACUCCGUG
This 490-nucleotide ribosomal RNA is filed under the name uncultured bacterium. RNAcentral describes it as "partial 16S ribosomal RNA". It matches the Rfam family "Bacterial small subunit ribosomal RNA", at positions 30 to 507 of the family's 1533-position model. The record is from RNAcentral.